This 814-nucleotide ribosomal RNA is filed under the name uncultured bacterium. RNAcentral's name for it is "bacterial SSU rRNA". It matches the Rfam family "Bacterial small subunit ribosomal RNA", at positions 44 to 848 of the family's 1533-position model. The record is from RNAcentral.
AGGCUUAACACAUGCAAGUCGAGGGGAAACGACAUCGAAAGCUUGCUUUUGAUGGGCGUCGACCGGCGCACGGGUGAGUAACGCGUAUCCAACCUGCCCAUCACUUGGGGAUAACCUUGCGAAAGUAAGACUAAUACCCAAUGAUAUCUCUAGAAGACAUCUGAAAGAGAUUAAAGAUUUAUCGGUGAUGGAUGGGGAUGCGUCUGAUUAGCUUGUUGGCGGGGUAACGGCCCACCAAGGCAACGAUCAGUAGGGGUUCUGAGAGGAAGGUCCCCCACAUUGGAACUGAGACACGGUCCAAACUCCUACGGGAGGCAGCAGUGAGGAAUAUUGGUCAAUGGACGAGAGUCUGAACCAGCCAAGUAGCGUGCAGGAUGACGGCCCUAUGGGUUGUAAACUGCUUUUAUAAGGGAAUAAAGUGAGUCUCGUGAGACUUUUUGCACGUACCUUAUGAAUAAGGACCGGCUAAUUCCGUGCCAGCAGCCGCGGUAAUACGGAAGGUCCGGGCGUUAUCCGGAUUUAUUGGGUUUAAAGGGAGCGUAGGCCGGAGAUUAAGCGUGUUGUGAAAUGUAGAUGCUCAACAUCUGAACUGCAGCGCGAACUGGUUUCCUUGAGUACGCACAAAGUGGGCGGAAUUCGUGGUGUAGCGGUGAAAUGCUUAGAUAUCACGAAGAACUCCGAUUGCGAAGGCAGCUCACUGGAGCGCAACUGACGCUGAAGCUCGAAAGUGCGGGUAUCGAACAGGAUUAGAUACCCUGGUAGUCCGCACGGUAAACGAUGGAUGCCCGCUGUUGGUCUGAAUAGGUCAGCGGCC